GUGCCAGCAGCCGCGGUAAUACGUAGGUGGCAAGCGUUGUCCGGAAUUAUUGGGCGUAAAGCGCGCGCAGGCGGCCUCUUAAGUCUGAUGUGAAAGCCCCCGGCUCAACCGGGGAGGGCCAUUGGAAACUGGGAGGCUUGAGUAUAGGAGAGAAGAGUGGAAUUCCACGUGUAGCGGUGAAAUGCGUAGAGAUGUGGAGGAACACCAGUGGCGAAGGCGACCACCUGGACCGAUACUGACGCUGAGGCGCGAAAGCGUGGGGAGCAAACAGGAUUAGAUACCCUGGUAGUCC
RNAcentral lists this ribosomal RNA (292 nucleotides) under uncultured microorganism. RNAcentral's name for it is "partial 16S ribosomal RNA". It matches the Rfam family "Bacterial small subunit ribosomal RNA", at positions 505 to 796 of the family's 1533-position model. The record is from RNAcentral.